Molecule: ribosomal RNA, 585 nt
Filed under: uncultured bacterium
Lineage: Bacteria
Description: partial 16S ribosomal RNA
Rfam family: Bacterial small subunit ribosomal RNA
Source: RNAcentral
UGGGGAAUUUUGGACAAUGGGCGAAAGCCUGAUCCAGCAAUGCCGCGUGUGUGAAGAAGGCCUUCGGGUUGUAAAGCACUUUUGUCCGGAAAGAAAUCCUCUGGGUUAAUACCUCGGGGGGAUGACGGUACCGGAAGAAUAAGCACCGGCUAACUACGUGCCAGCAGCCGCGGUAAUACGUAGGGUGCAAGCGUUAAUCGGAAUUACUGGGCGUAAAGCGUGCGCAGGCGGUUUUGUAAGACGGAUGUGAAAUCCCCGGGCUUAACCUGGGAACUGCAUUCGUGACUGCAAGGCUAGAGUAUGGCAGAGGGGGGUAGAAUUCCACGUGUAGCAGUGAAAUGCGUAGAGAUGUGGAGGAAUACCGAUGGCGAAGGCAGCCCCCUGGGCCAAUACUGACGCUCAUGCACGAAAGCGUGGGGAGCAAACAGGAUUAGAUACCCUGGUAGUCCACGCCCUAAACGAUGUCAACUAGUUGUUGGGGAUUCAUUUCCUUAGUAACGUAGCUAACGCGUGAAGUUGACCGCCUGGGGAGUACGGUCGCAAGAUUAAAACUCAAAGGAAUUGACGGGGUCAUAGCUGUUUCCU